This 733-nucleotide long non-coding RNA is filed under the name Monodelphis domestica (gray short-tailed opossum). RNAcentral describes it as "lncRNA (ENSMODG00000039085.1)". Lineage: Eukaryota; Metazoa; Chordata; Mammalia; Didelphimorphia; Didelphidae. The record is from RNAcentral.
GUCCAAAAGGUAAAAAUCAUUAAAAAAAUGCAACUUGCUUUUUUUAAAGACAAAAAAGGGAGGGAUAUUGUGGAGGAGGCAUGCACGCAAGACAAAAUGCAAAGGACAUCAUCUGUCAGUUAAAAUGAAGAUUCCAUUUGGAAUGUGACUGGGAGACAGUUGGAGUCAAGCCAAUGGCUGAACUGGACUGAGCUGGGUUGAACUGGACUUUUGGUUUUUGGCUUCUGACAGAGGUGGAGAAGAAGUGUGGUGGAUAUCUGGGUUCUAGGCUGAAGAAGUUUGCUGGGGCACAGCACUCUGUGCUGCUAAAGAUUUCUGCAAGAGAAAAGAGAAACAAAGGGAAAGAGAUGAGGACACCGAUGGUUUGCACAUAGAUAUCGAGGUGACCAUAGAGUCAGUCAUAGAGGUGACCCCAAAUUCAUCAAGGUGACAGAGUCAAGAUUGGACUUCAGGAGGCAAAAAUGGCAGAAUAGAAGAAACACUACAGCCCAACAUUCUCCUCCAAACAACUUUAAAAUAUUGGAUUCUGGAGUGGUAGAGCCAACAACAGAUCAAGGUGAGACACUUGCAACAUAAGAAAACUGAGAAUAUGGGAAGAGUGGUCUGUGAAAUGAGAGCUGAGCUGGAGCACUCACUAGACAACUUUGUUCCUUUGAGGCAGUUGUGAUAGCAGCUACAGCAUCUUUGAGAGCUCUCAGCCCAGAGAUAAUAAAGGGAUUAAACAAUUGAUCCA